This 67-nucleotide transfer RNA is filed under the name Parapolybia indica. RNAcentral's name for it is "tRNA-Pro". The record is from RNAcentral. RNAcentral also lists the same sequence under 1 other name. Lineage: Eukaryota; Metazoa; Arthropoda; Insecta; Hymenoptera; Vespidae.
CAAAAAGUAGUUUUAAAAAAAAUUUUAAUUUUGGAGAUUAAAGAUAUAAGUUAUUUUAUUUUUUUGA